AGGACCGUCAGCUUAUCUCCCCUCCGUGAUUCUCCGGGAAUCGCUCACCCCGCAACCCCUUCUCAUGUGCGCCGCCACUCCCUCUCUCUUUGUCUCCAUCUCGAUCUAUCAUCUCCCUCGUAUGGUGCCACCAGUGACUGGGGCGACGGCUAGCACCAGUGCUUUGGGGGAAGGUCACACCAGUGACAACAGCGGAGGCUGGUGGUGCCACCAGCGACUGGGAAACCUGCUUGGUCUGGGCUUUGCGACGGCAAGGACGCGCGGCACUACCGGCCCAGAUGAUCCAGGUCGCAUCUCCACUUCAGAACGACAUCCUUCUCCACGCAAGCAUUGGGGAGAGUUCUUGGCCGUGCGGCAACCAACAGCAAUCAGCAGCAAGCAGGCGUAUAAAGAUCCGUCCAGCCACAAGUAGUUGCCGACCGGUGAAAAAGUUGAUUUGUUUGUGUGGUGGACGGCGUUGUGCUAUGCAUGUCACCCACAAAUGAAUCGAUCACCGCAGAAGAUUAUAAUCAUAUCUAUUCCUCCCUCAAUAUAUUCCCGAGAGCUAACAUCGACGACACUACACACCGCUUGCAGUUGCUACCUUCUCCCCUUGAAGCAUGGCAUCUAUGGCAUGCCUGCCUGAUCCCACAACCGUUUUUCUCUCUCUCGUGACUUUCUAAUAUGCAAAUUAAUUUUUGUUCCCUGCUCAUGUUACAAGGGUGGCACUUGGACCAUGGCAUCUACCUAACAUUAAUAUACUCCCAUUUUUGUUUCAAGAAUUUAGUAAUUGAUAUCCUAUUCUAUACAUUUCUAAAACUGUUGAUUCAAACUUGCUAGGUUUCUUGAUGAUGUGUGGUAAGACUUCUGCUAUCAACCAAAUUAGGAAUUCUGGAGAAGGAGCCCCUCCCAUUGGAAUUGCGCCAUCCACACACAUGAGGUGCAACAGUCCAUGGUGGCAUGGCUUUGGAGCUGUAGCUGUGCUUGCAGACGCCUCGAGAUAUUCAUGCACAUCCAGAUAUGCACCAUCCGCAGACAUGAGGUGCAUCUGUCACAUGGUGUCCUGGUUUUGGAGCUGGAGUUGUGCUUGCUACUGCCGCGAGAUUUUCAUGCACAUCCACAUAUGUGCCUAACCUUGCUGCGUCUACCUGAUGUUAUGCGAUUUUGGCACAGGCAAUGCUGAAGAGGCACGUGACAAUUGCCAUUUGCCCGUGCUUUUUUACUAUUCUUUUCUUUUUCAUAUAUGUUCAUUGUGCCUGGUUACUGUGGUGAGAUGCCAUGUUAGGAAUGGUAAAUCAUAACGAGGUGUAUAAGCUAAAGUAAGGAAUACAUAUAUUGUUACAUUC
This is an RNA transcript of Triticum dicoccoides, 1325 nucleotides long. RefSeq lists it as uncharacterized. The transcript is spliced from 4 exons. The record is from RefSeq and is a predicted model, not a curated record. NCBI's taxonomy places the organism in Eukaryota, Viridiplantae, Streptophyta, Magnoliopsida, Poales, Poaceae.